Molecule: long non-coding RNA, 1155 nt
Organism: Daphnia pulex (common water flea)
Lineage: Eukaryota; Metazoa; Arthropoda; Branchiopoda; Diplostraca; Daphniidae
Exons: 5
Source: RefSeq, a predicted model, not a curated record
UCAUAAGCCGCAAUGAUAACAAUGUUCAAACUGAAUCUAACUUUUUUAACUUCUUAUUUAUUUUGAAGAGUAUAUCUGUCAAAUUAUUUGUUUUUUUCAUAUUUUUGUUGUAGUGCGCUCUAUAGUUUUAUGCUGAUUAGUCCCAUUCGGCGUGCUUGUUGUUGACGUUUUGGCAAUUUUCAACAGUCGUCUGCUGUAGUUUUUGUCAGUUUAACCAGAGUUGUCGCCAAUUGAUAGCUGUCAGAAUCCUUGAUUAUAUUCUAUUCAAGCUUAUUUUCAUGGUGAAAGUUUUCUUCGUAAAUUUGUUAGUUGUGUUUCUUUUAAUGUUCUAAACGACUGUCGUUUGUCAUUUGUUUUCAAAUGAAUAAUUAUGUUUGUGAAGCAAACGAUAUGUUUUCUUUUCUAAGAAACUUGUUGUAGACAUCUGUUUUUUUCCUUAAUUUGGAAAGGUGUGUUGACUGAAAAGAUGUUUUUCACUGGAGGAUCUGGGUAUAUCGGAAGCCCCUGUGUAGUUGAGCUUAUGGAACUGGCUAUCUGGUUAUUUCUUGCGAGAAGUUUGGGAAGAUUGGCUGCUUCUGGAAGUGAUAGCAUUCAGCUAAGCCGAGUAAUAAAAGAAAUAACCUUAACAUUGCCAAGGAAUAAGUCAUUGGAAAGAAUAAUUCGCUAUACAGUAGCGAAGAAGUUAACGGCGAAGAAGUUAAAUCUCAAGAACAGAGCUGAGAAACACCCAAUUGAUAAUUCUCCCAGCAAAGAUUCAUCAAGUAGUUCAUUCAGGGCUGAUAAAGAGAAGUAAAAGUUGCAGAAGGAGCUGUUGUCUUCUGUUGUCUCUGCAGUCGAGCUUAUGUCUCAAGUUGAGUCAGCCUACAAAGAAAGGGCCAGUUAAAACGUACACCAAGCAAGUAGAAAAGUUAGAUUUGCACUUUCAUGAGUACACACUCUAAGUGGAAGAGCUCAACAGCAUAUUAUCGACAUCAGCAGCCACAAAACUCGUUUGUAUACUUUUAGACAACGAUUAAUUUACAAUUUGUUAAAGGAAAAUGAUCACAAUAAAUUUAUUUGGUCAACAGGAAAACAUUGAAGCAAGGAAGUUCGAUAGCUGAAAUUCAGCUACGAAAAUAUCAGCUAUUUGAAGACCAACUCAGCUUAAGCCAAAUC